AGCCUUCUAAGAACCAGGCCACGUUGUAGGCCUCUAAAUAGGUUUGGUGCUGAAAUUAGCUAGGAGUUCAAAGUCCUCAUGACUCCAGUCUAAUUCUGCCACUUUGCUGGGCCAGUUACUCAGGCCCAAUGGCCUUUGGGAACGAAAGCCCAGUGAUUUACAACUCAAAAUUUCAUACACCAUUGCAAAAAAUGAAAGAACUACGAACUAAUCUAAGCAUGAGUACAUGUUCAUCCGGAUUUAAAAUUACAACACCAAAUUCACUACAUCAGAAAUCUUGACUUGAAUUUAUAAUAACAAACGCUUUUAUGAACUAGCAUCCUACAUUUCUGGGAUUAAACAAUGUCAUAACAAAUAAGGUUUCCGAUAAUUAAUUCAUAUCUCCUGAUGCCUUUGACUCGUACAAGUUUAAACUCUUCAUUCAACCUUCAAACUCAUGUGCUUAAAAACUUCAGUGGCUAGCAAACUCAAGCCCGAUCUCUCACAAAUUUAUUAAGUGUUCACAAUCACCAAUAACAUGAUGAUGUUAAUUCUCAAAUUGCUAACACGUAUCAUACUAAGCUAAACACAAAUCAAUCUGUUACAAUUAGAGGCAGAUUUUUGUUUUUACUCAAACACAGAAAUAUUGUCACAAAAACAUACUAGAUUUGACUUUGUGACAUCUUAUCUAAAAACAUUAAUCGCGCGAAGAGCAAUAAUGGAUCUGGACACACAUAGAUCUAUGAAGAACCAACAUGAUUUCAAUUUGAGGAAUUACAAACUACUUAAGUGUCAGCAACACGAGUCAAGGAAUGCAUUUUAAUUUCAUAACCAAAACAUGCCAUAUCAUCAUUAAACUCAAUACAUUUAGAGAUCUAUAAGAAGCACUAAGUUAAAACCUGAACAACGAGAGAGAUUUAGGACCAAAUAAAGUUUAGAAAAUUCGAAGAGGGAGCUCAGCUACGAAACCAUAGAAUCAACAGCGAAUCAACAACAAUUAAUAGAGUUUUUGAGAUGGAAUUACUCCUUUGGAACCCAACAAGUAAGGAAUAAUCGGUCACAGGUGGAAACACUCUUCAAAUCCUUUUGAAAUCCUAAGCUUUCUACUGUUUUUGGAGUCUUUGAUCUCAGAUCUCUUUUUUGAAUUUUUUUGACUUUAGAAAUUUUUGGUUUUCCGCUGUUUUUGAAUACUGCUGAAUUUUCAGAGUGAAAUGGGUCUGUGUGCGAAUUUUUUAGACUCUGAAUACAUGCCCAAAGUAUGAGGAGGAAUGCCUUAUUUAUAGAUUAUUGGUUAGGGCUCUUUUCAAAUUUCCCUUUUUGUUUUACCCCUCUUAUUUUCAGUUUUUACUCCAACAGUCCCUAAUAAUAACAAACCCUUCUACAUCUUCUUUGCAAAUUAAUCAUUUUCAACACCUUCCUCGAAGUUUCCUAAAAGAUUCUCUAAGGGUGGAAUUCCUUAAUUAUCCCGUGUCUUUCCAGUAUUUACCAAUUUUUAGAAAUUAACUUUCUUUUAACUCAAUUACUACUCUUGUUUUACCACAUAUUUCACUAAAUUUCUGGCAGUGAGCCUUAGACUAAAAGAAUAAUAGGCAAUGUCGACCUGGGCUCAAAGCCCACUGGUCUUUUGUAUUUUUGACAAGUCUGUUAAUGACCUAGCCUAAUUUCAUUUAAAUUUGAACCAAACUAACUAAGAGAGUAUUUAAACACUAACAAAAUAUAUGGAAAAUUUACAACAAAAAUAAAAAAUAAGCCAACUCAUAAACUAAUUAGCUAACACAAAAUCGAACUAACAGAAGAAUACUCUUAACUUCUAAUGCUAUUUGAUCAAUAAUUAAAAUAUGCGAUUAUUCACCUAUAAAUAAAAAAAAUGACAACACAUAAAAAAACCAUAGAAGAAGAGGAGGGAAGAGUAUACCUAUUGGAUCAAACCGAGCUGUCAAGAGAAAAUUCCGAUGAGCCAGAGGAUUGCUACACAAGCACCAACCAAAAUUUGUCACGCCGGCCAGUGCUAUAUGUAGCAAUAGCUCUUGCAUGCUGGAGGUGAUGAACGAAGAAGCUUUGAGAGGACUGGCCGGUCAACCAGAAUUUGAUCGGGCCCCGAUGGCCACGAAAUGAGACGAAACCACCACCAAUCGACAAUACUCAUCAAGAGAUGUCGAUUAGUGUGAAUUUUAACCUCAGACGUGUAAGAAUAGAAGAGGAAUCAAGAAAGACUUAAAUUCCCAGGUCUACUAAUCGUGGAGUUUGGGUGGAUUUUUACGGAAAUGGUUGAGAAAUUAGGGACGAGGAGGAGUGAGGAGUAUCUGGUGAAAAUAUUUAGCCAAUUGGUGGUGGUCCGCCGCCGUGGCGAUUUUCGGCGGCGAUCAGACGGUGGUCCUCCACGGCGUGAAGGCGGAAGGAGGACAGUGGGCGGUGAAAGCAAUUUUUGGCCGCCCAAGAGAGAUGAGAGAGAAUGGGGAUUAGGGGUGGUGUAUAAAUAUUGAAUUUUUAUCAAUCAUUUUUAUUAUAAAGGGAAAAUCAGUGAAAUGACAUAGCUAUGUUGCGAGACUACUUUGUUUAGAUGGUCUGAUGCUAAGAUUGUUUGGACCGGGUAUUGAAUUGUACUGCACGGGUAUUCUUAGUAAAACUGGGCCCAAAAUCGUGGCCCAGUCUCAUUUUGAGCUUAGUAGCCUUAUCCUCCCUUCUUCUUCAUUUUACAAUUAGCCACUAAUCAACUGACAUACCAUUUGCAAAAUUAUCCUACUAACUGAUUCUAUCUAAUGACUUACUAUAAAAAUUAUAAAUUAUCCUACUAAUUAUGUGAGUAAGUAGGUCCAAAAAUGCAGAGUUAUUAGCUAAUAUAUUUUUAUGAUUUUGUGUUUAAUAAAAACUGCAAUUAGCAGGCAUUUGAGUGCCAGCAAUGCAAUUAGAAUCUGAAAAUACGAUGAAUGAAAUAAAAAGGUAUUUUUGGUGAUUUUCUAUGAUUUAACAUGCUCUUAGUAAUACAAAUAAUGCAUACAAACUAACAAAGAAAAAAUCUUUAAAGUUUCAAGAAAAAUCAAAAUAAUUGAUAAUACUAUUUUUAGACCUUUUAGGAGCAAUUUCAGGUGAGGCAAAAAUUACGUGCUCACAGUAACCUGUACAUGCAACCUAGUUCUUCCAUAUAAUCAAUCUGGUUUGUUAAUGGUGUACCCUGUGUUGAAAAACACAAUUAGGGAUUGGUGUACCCUAUACUGAAAAAGAGAUUAGGGAGUGAUGUACCCUAUACUGAAAAAGAGACUAGGGAGUAAUGUACCCUAUAUUAGCAAUGAGAUCAGGGAAUGUUGUACCCUACAUUUAAGAUCAUUAACUAGGGAAUGAUGUACCCUAUACUGGUAAAGAGACUAGGGAGUGGUGUACGCUAUAUUAGCAAUGAGAUCACGAAAUGGUGUACCCUACAUUACAUAUAUAUACUAAACUAUACUAUAUAUACUAAACUAUACUAUAUAUAUAUAUAUAUAUAUAUAUAUAUAUAUAUACUAUACACUUAGUAUAUAUUUACUUUUUAGUAGUAACAUGAAAGGACCAAAGUAUGGUACUUCUUAGCUGGUAUAAAUAUGGAAGGAUAAAAGAUCAAGUUUUAGCUCAACUCAGUAUAUAUUAUAGUAUAGUAUAUAUAUAAGCUAUAUUUGNNNNNNNNNNNNNNNNNNNNNNNNNCUAUUUUAUAAAUAGCCAAUGGCUAUAUUUUAUUUUAUUUUAAAUUUUGUUUUUUUUUUAAAAAAUAAAAAUAAAUUAGCCGUUGGGACCGUUUGGCCCGCUAAGGGACCGGGCCGGUCCCAGACCCUGGCGGGCUAACGGUCCCGGGCCUGACGAGCUCAGAUCAUAGGACCGACCCACGAGACUGGCCCAGAACCGCUAAAAUCGGGCCAAACAGUCCUGGCCCGUUUAGCCCGUUUGGCCCGUUUGGCCCGCGGUCCCGGGCCUGGACCGGCCCACUUGCCACCCUUACCCACUGGUCUUCUGUAUUUUUGACAAGUCUGUUAAUGACCUAGCCUAAUUUCUUUUAAAUUUGAACCAAACUAACUAGGACAGUAUUUAAACACUAACAAAAUAUAUGGGAAAUUUACAACAAAAAUAAAAAAUAAGUUAACUCAUAAACUAAUUAGCUAACACAAAAUCGAACUAACAGAAGAAUACUCUUAACUUCUAAUGCUAUUUGAUCAAUAAUUAAAACAUGCGAUUAUUCACCUAUGAAUUACAAACACUGACAACACAUAAAAAAAGAAAAAACGUAGAAGAAAAGGAGGGAAGAGUAUACCUAUUGGAUUAAACCGAGCUGUCAAGAGGAAAUUCCGAUGAGCCGGAGGAUUGCUACACAAGCACCAACCAAAAUUUGUCAUGCCGGCCAGUGCUAUAUGUAGCAAUAGCUCCUGCAUGCUGGAGGUGAUGAACGAAGAAGCUUUGAGAGGACUGGCAGGUCUACCAGAAUUUGAUCGGGCCCCGAUGGCCACGAAAUGAGACGAAACCACCACCAAUCGACAAUACUCAUCAAGAGAUGUCGAUUAGUGUGAAUUUUAACCUUAGACAAGUAAGAAUUGAAGAGGAAUCAAGAAAGGGGCAAUUUCAGUUUUUCUUAAAUUCUCAGGUCUACUAAUCGUGGAGUUUGGGUGGAUUUUUGCGAAAAUGGUUGAGAAAUUAGGGACGAGGAGGAGUGAGGAGUAUCUGGUGAAAAUUUUAGCCAAUUGGCAGUGGUCCGCCGCCGUGACAAUUUUCGGCGGCGGUUAGACGGUGGUCCACCGUGGCGUGAAGGCGGAAGGAGGACAGUGGGCGGCGAAAGCAAUUUUCGGCCGCCCAAGAGAGAUGAGAGAGGAUGGGGAUUAGGGGUGGUGUAUAAAUAUUGAAUUUUUAUCAAUCAUUUUUAUUAUAAAGGGGAAAACAGUGAAAUGACAUAGUUAUGUUGCGAGACUACUCUAUUUAGAUGGUGUGAUGGCAAGAUUGUUUGGACUGGGUAUUGGAUUGGACUGGACGGGUAUUCUUAGUAAAACUGGGCCCAAAAUCGUGGCCCAGUCUCAUUUUGAGCUUAGUAGCCUUAUCCUCCCUUCUUCUUCAUUUUACAAUUAGCCACUAAUCAACUGACAUACCAUUUGCAAAAUUAUCCUACUAACUGAUUCUAUCUAAUGACUUACUAUAAAAAUUAUAAAUUAUCCUACUAAUUAUGUGAGUAAGUAGGUCCAAAAAUGCAGAGUUAUUAGCUAAUAUAUUUUUAUGAUUUUGUGUUUAAUGAAAACUGCAAUUAGCAGGCAUUUGGGUGCCAGCAAUGCAAUUAGAAUCUGAAAAUACGAUGAAUGAAAUAAAAAGGUAUUUUUGGUGAUUUUCUAUGAUUUAACAUGCUCUUAGUAAUACAAAUAAUGCAUACAAACUAACAAAGAAAAAAUCUUUAAAGUUUCAAGAAAAAUCAAAAUAAUUGAUAAUACUAUUUUAGACCUUUUAGGAGCAAUUUCAGGUGAGGCAAAAAUUACGUGCUCACAGUAACCUGUACAUGCAACCUAGUUCUUCCAUAUAAUCAAUCUGGUUUGUUAAUGGUGUACCCUGUGUUGAAAAACACAACUAGGGAUUGGUGUACCCUAUACUGAAAAAGAGACUAGGGAGUGAUGUACCCUAUAUUAGCAAUGAGAUCAGGGAAUAUUAUACCCUACAUUUAAGAUCAUUAACUAGGGAAUGAUGUACCCUAUAUUGGUAAAGAGACUAGGGAGUGGUGUACCCUAUAUAAGUAAUGAGAUCAGGGAAUGGUGUACCCUGCAUUUAAGAUCAUCAACUAGGGUGUGGUGUACCCUAUGUUGAAAAAUGUAUCUAGGGAUUGGUGUGCUCUAUACUAGCAUGAUUUUGAAUGCAGUUAAAAUAUGAGCGAAAUGUGGGAAAGAAUUUUAAGAAGACUUUCAUUUUUUACGGGUUUUUGUGUUGUAGGGCUGUUUUCAAUCUCCGCAUGAUUAUUUUCGGUUGUACCUGCUUCUUUCAAGGUUGUCUUUGCAUUGUACCUGUUUCCUGUUUCUCAACAAAGAACAUUUUUUAGUUCAGAACGGUGGUUGGUUUUGUGGCCUUGAGUGCUUCGGACUUUUAAUCUCGGCCCAUCUUUUUUUGAUGAUGAUUUCGACUAUGGCCGGUUAUUUUCGGAUUACCAAUUGCCUUCCUGGCCCUGGGGCACUUUUAGCUUUUCAAACCUUUAUCGUGAUGGUUAGUCGGGUGAGACUUAACCUUUUCAACUUUAUUUUGCCUUUAUGGGCAUUUCAAUUUGGCUUAUUUCUUCCAAAGUUCUCAAUUUCAAAGCAUCUGCCAAUCAUGGCCAGUCGGGGUUGACUUGAUGCCUUUGCCGAGGCUGGGUACCUUUUGAAUAUAUCAGCUUACUUCAAACGAGAAACCUAUAAUCUGUCACGACCCAAAAUCCCACUAGUCGUGAUAGCACCUAACCCAACCCGUUAGGUAAGCCAAUUUUUAACUAUCCAAUUCCAAUAAAAUUAAUUAAAAGAAAAUAUUUAAAACUGAUACAUCUCCUCAAGAACUGGUAGUACAAAUCAUGAGCUUCUAAGAAUAGAGUAUACAAAGCGAAAAUGAAAUAAAUACAUAGUCUAUUUGAAUAAUACAUAAACAGAGCUUUUAUAAAUCUAAGGCUACCCUGAACAAGAGGCAGCUACAAUAGAAACGCAUGUACAUCUUCAAGUCCCGCAACCAGCGAGCACAGCAACAACAACAGCCAACAUCUACACGCAAUGUGCAGAAGUAUAGUAUCAGUACAACCGACCCCAUGUACUGAGUAAGUAAUAAAUCUAGCCGUAGGUUAAAAGUAGUGACGAGCUUCCACCAAGUCGGGUACAAAAUCAAUAGUCCACAACAAUCCAUAACAACAUAAAGCAAAUAAUACCAGAGUAACUCAGAGACAAAAUGCUCAGCCGAAUCAUGAUUUCCAAAUAGUAGUUCUUUCUUUUAAAUACAUCAGUGAAAACCCAAAUCGUUUGCUGGAGUUUCCAAUAAUAUAAAUAGUUUGAAAACAAUAAAUUUCUCCCAAAAUCUUGUCAAUAAUAUAUAAGAUGUUUCAUUUUCCUUCCGGAUAACCCGUGUAAAAUAAAUGCAUCACUAUGCCCAUCUGUCAAAAAUGUGUGAGAAAUCAUGAAUGAUGUGAUGUUGUACAGCAUGAGAAAAAAUACAUCUCUAUGCUUGUAUGUCAUGUGUGCAUGCCAAUGCGAUGCAAUUCAUUGAUAAAAAUCAUAAACAACCCCUCGGGCAGAACAUCAAUCAUAUACAGCCCCUCGGGCAGACGUCACAGUCACUCGUGCCACUCGGGCAUGCCUCNNNNNNNNNNNNNNNNNNNNNNNNNNNNNNNNNNNNNNNNNNNNNNNNNNNNNNNNNNNNNNNNNNNNNNNNNNNNNNNNNNNNNNNNNNNNNNNNNNNNNNNNNNNNNNNNNNNNNNNNNNNNNNNNNNNNNNNNNNNNNNNNNNNNNNNNNNNNNNNNNNNNNNNNNNNNNNNNNNNNNNNNNNNNNNNNNNNNNNNNNNNNNNNNNNNNNNNNNNNNNNNNNNNNNNNNNNNNNNNNNNNNNNNNNNNNNNNNNNNNNNNNNNNNNNNNNNNNNNNNNNNNNNNNNNNNNNNNNNNNNNNNNNNNNNNNNNNNNNNNNNNNNNNNNNNNNNNNNNNNNNNNNNNNNNNNNNNNNNNNNNNNNNNNNNNNNNNNNNNNNNNNNNNNNNNNNNNNNNNNNNNNNNNNNNNNNNNNNNNNNNNNNNNNNNNNNNNNNNNNNNNNNNNNNNNNNNNNNNNNNAAAUUCAUGGAUUCAUGAUGUAAAUGAGUAUGGAAUCAUGAAAUAUAAUCAAUAUAGGAUAAGGAACACUUACCCCAAUGUUUUCCCGUGAAAAUCGCCCAGAUAUCGCCUAAAUCGAGCUCCAUAAACUCAAAAAUGAGUAAAAAUGGCAAGAACCCCGUUUUAUAGACCCUCAGUUGUUUCGGGCGUCACAGGUAGCGUGGGGCGCUGCCUGUGGCGCAGUUUCCAGUAUCCCAAAAUUCCCAGCGCUAGGGCUAGCGCCCAACGCUACCCUGGGCGCUCGCAGCGAUGGAAAAAUUGUUCCAGACACGAAAAUAGGCAUAACUCUCUCAUACGAUGUCCGAAUUCAAUGAUUCUUUUUGCUAUGGCUCCGUAAUUUCAAUAUGGAUCUAAUACUUCCAUAAAAACUGAAUUUGGAGCUCAUUUGCGUAAUGUGAUACCACAUAUUCUUAAAGAAUCGACAUCGAACAUUUUAGGUUCAAUGCCGAAACAUAGCAAAUCAAUCCGGAAUGAACUCAAAUUUUGCGUACAAGUCAUAAAUGGAAUAACAAAGCUGUUUCAAUUUCAAAAAUAUGAUUCCGACCUCGAUAUCAAAAAGUGAAACCCCGGUCAACCUUCCCAAAAAUUUAACUUUCGGCAUUUCAAGCCUAAUUCCACUACGGACCUCCAAAUAAGUUUUCGGACACGCUCCUAAGUCCAAAAUCACCAUGCGGAGCUAUUGGAAUCAUCAGAAUUUAAUUUCGAGGUCAUUUACACAUAAGUCGAUAUCUGGUCACUAUUUUAACUUAAGCUUUAAGCCUUUUGGAACUAAGUGUUCCAAUUCAUUCCAAAACCUCACCGGACCCGAACCAUUUUCCCCGGCAAGUCACACAACAACUUUAAAGCCCAAUUUUAGCAGUAAUGGGAGAAACAAGGUUGUAAUACUCAAAACGACCGGUCGGGUCGUUACAUAAUCGGUCUUGCAUGUCUUUUCUUUGCCUUAUUAUUGGAACAAAACUAGAUCAAAAGUGAUUCAAAAAAAAAAUUCAAUUGUACAGGUGAAUAAACAAUUGAAGAAAAGAAAGAGUUUAAAUGAGAGGUGUCCCUUUUGGGGAAAGGAAAGAAGGACUUAUCUGGGAGUACAUACGGACUUCAAUGAACAUGAUAUGCCUUUUGUACUUAAUUCCCGAUCCGUGUAAACUGUCCAACUCUUGGAAACUCAUCACAACUUUUAUCUUGAAACCGAGAAACCUUGCGCACGACUGUGUUGAUGCCAUUGUGUUGUGGAUCCUCUUUCCGAUCAGUAAUGACCUUUGCGGGUUUUCACUAGUUGACCUCUCUCAUUUUUCUUCUCACCGCCGCCUUAUAGUGCCCUUUGCAAGUUUUCACUAACAAGAAUCUCUCAUUUUAUUUUCUCUACUCACCUUCGCCUUAUGGUGCCCGUGAAGGUUUUCACUAAUAAGACUCAUAUUUUUAUUUUUCUCAUUUCUUGAUGGCAUCGAGUCCGUGACCUUUGAUUUUUUAAACAUUCCCGCAUAUUGGUCGGAAGGUCUUGAAGGGUUUUUGGUAAAAAGAACACGGGUUGAACUACAACUUUAGAACCUCUCGGCGAAAUUAUCGCUGAAAUACCGUAACUGCUACCCCAUUGUUGGUCUUUAGGGAAAUGUGAAUUUUUUGUUUGAUGUGACAGAACCCUAGAGUGAGGCUGCCUAUGUAUCAUUUCGGAAUCAGGUUGGACGUAGUCCAAUUAACAUUGAACUUUGUUCUUGAUUUUUGUUUUGUUUUGUUUUGUUCUUUUUCUUUUUUUUCUUUUUUUUCUUUUCCCUUUUUUUUUCUUCUUUUCUUUUUACAACAAGGUUCCAAAGAGGGUAAACAAAGAAAGAUAACUUUCUCAAAGGCUUGGAAAAAGAGUUACUGGUGUUUGGAUAGUGAAAAAUAAAAGCCUUCGUCAUCCUAACCAGAGAAUUAUUGCACCGAGUAAUGGGUCAAACAUAAUAAUAUUUGACUGCAUCUGCAUUGACUGUUGUCUCGGGUACAUUUCCUUUGAUGUUUUCCAGGUACAACACUCCUUUUGGCAACACUCUUGUGACAAUGUAUGGACCUUUCUAAUUUGGGGCAAAUUUUCCUUUAACUUCUUCAUUAUGUGGAAGGAUACGUUUCAGAACGAGUUUCCCCACUUCAAACUUCAUGGGUCACACUUUCUUGUUAUAGGUGUGGGCCAUUCUUUGUUGGUACAACUGCCCGUGACAGACUGAAUCCAAUCAUUUUUCAUCAAUCAAAGUCAAUUAUUUCAAUCGGGUCUUGACCCAUUCCUCAUCCUCAAUCUUGGCUUCGAUAAUGAUCCGAAGAGAGGGAAUUUUCACUUCUGCUGGUAUCACAACUUUAGUGCCAUAAACCAAUAAGUAGGGAGUAGCCCCAACUGAUGUGCGCAUGGUGUUGCGAUAUCCCAAAAGUGCAAAAGGCAGCUUUUCAUGCCACUGCCUGGAACCGUGGACCAUUUUCCUGAGAGUCUUUUUGAUAUUCUUGUUUGCGGCUUCAACGACGCCAUUGGAUUUGGGCCGAUAAGGAGUAGAAUUACGAUGCGUAAUUUUGAACUGCUCGUAUACCUCUCUCAUCAAAUGGCUAUUUAGAUUUGUGGCAUUGUCCGUAAUGAUAGUUUUUUUGGAAUACCAAAACGGCAAAUGAUGUUGGAAUGUACAAAGUCCACCACUGCUUUCUUGGUGAUAUCUUUGAAGGUAACUAUUUUGACCCAUUUUGUGAAAUAAUCAAUGACAACCAAGAUGAAUUUGUGACCAUUUGAACCUUUCGACUCGAUUGGCCCAAUAACAUCCAUGCCCCAGGUGAUAAACGACCAAGGUGCUGACAUGGGAUGCAAUGUUGAAGGUGGCGAGUGAAUCAGGUCACUAUGUAUCUAACACUGAUGACACUGAAAUAGUCCUUUUCCAUGGUCAUCUAAUAAUAACCCGCUAGUAGUAUUUUCUUUACAAGGAAGUAACCAUUCAUGUGGGGCCCACAUAUUCCUGAAUGUACUUCGUUCAUGAUCCUCUCAGCUUCUCGAGAGUCCACACAUCUCAACAAAUUUAGAUUUGGAGUUCUUUUAUAUAGGAUUUCUCCACUUAGAAAGAAACUACUGGCAAACCUUCUAAUAGUUCUCUUUCGAUCUCCGCUUGCUUGUUUCAGGUAUUCUUUCAUUUUCAAGAACCUUUUGACAUCGUGGUACCAUGGCUCACCAUCUGUUUCCAUUUUAAUUGCAUUGCAGUAACCAUGCCUUUCUCGGACUUGAAUUUCCAACAGAUCAAUAUGAUUAUUACCCGGGUAUGGGAGCACUGAAGCCAAAGUAGCUAGUGCAUCUACUAGCUCAUUGUGGAAUCGAGGAAUGUAUUUAAACUCAAUGGACUUAAACCGUAUACUGAGGUCUUCCACAUAUUGUCUCUAUGGGAUGAGUUUGAUGUCUCGAGUUUCCCAUUCACCUUGAUCUUGCCGAAUAAUCAAGUUAGAAUCUCCCAGGAUCAAUAAUUCUUGCACAUCCAGAUCAAUUGCCAUGUUCAUGCCCAUUAUGCAGGCCUUAUAUUCAGCGGUGUUAUUGGUGAAAAAGAACCGAAGAUUGGCUAUGGUUGGGAAAUGUUGACUAGCGGGCGAAAUGAGAGUUGCCUUGAUCCCUACACUUUUUGCAUUUACAGCUCCAUCAAAGAAUAUUUUCCAAGCAUUGUAGUUUUCUGAAACCACUUCAACUAAUUUACUUCCUCGUCUGGAAAGUAAGUGUUUAAAGGCUGGUAUUCAUCAUCAACCGAGCUUUCGGCCAAAUGAUCUGUCAAUGCUUGGGCUUUCAUCGCAGUGCGAGUGACAUUGACAAUGUCAAAUUCAGUGAGCAGGAUUUGCCACUUUUCUAAUCUUUCGGUCGGCAUCGGCUUUUGGAAUAUAUAUUUUAGGGGAUCCAUUCUGGUUAUGAGGUAAGUUGUAUAAGCUAGAAGGUAGUGUCUUAGCUUCUGAGCGACCCAAGUUAGGGCGCAACAUGUUCUCUCCAACAAAGUAUACUUGACCUCGUAAUUCGUGAACUUCUUGAUCCGAUAAUAGAUUGCAUGUUCUCUUUUCCCGGAUACAUCAUGUUGCCCCAGGACACAUCCGAAAGAAUUUUCCAAAACCGUCAGAUACAAGAGCAAAGGUCUUCCCGUUUCGGGUGGAAUCAACACAGGCGGAUAUGACAGAUAUUCUUUGAUUUUAUCAAAAGCCUCUUGACACUUAUUCGUCCAUUUAAUUGUUGCAUCUUUUUUCAAUAGCUUGAACAUGGGCUCGCAAGUCUUAGUGAAUUGAGAAAUGAACCUGCUAAUGUAGUUCAAUCUUCCGAGCGGAUUCAUGACCUCGUUCUUGCUUUUCGGAGGUGGCAAGUCUCGAAUGGACUUUAUCUUUGACGGAUCCAACUCAAUGCCCCUACGACUGACUAUAAAUCCCAAAAUCUAUUCAGACGGAACUCCAAAUGCACAUUUAGCUAGAUUCAGUUUCAAAUCGUACUUGCGAAGCCUUUCGAAAAACUUUCUCAAAUCUGGCACAUGGUCUUCUUGCAUUCUGAACUUGAUAAUCACAUCAUCCAUAUACACCUCGAUUUUCUGAUGCAUUAUCUCAUGCAAAAUGGCAGUCAUAGCCCUCAUAUGAGUUGCUCCUGAAAGGCAUAACCUUGUAACAGUACGUGCCCCGGGAUUUGGUAAAAAUGGUCUUUUCUUUAUCCUCUUCAUCCAUCAGAACUUUAUGAUACCCAGCAUAACAAUUCACAAAAGACUGUAUUUCAUAUUUGGCAAAGUUAUCAAUGAGGAUGUGUAUAUCUGGUAAGAGGAAGUUGUCUUUAAGACUCGCUUUGUUCAGAUCCCGAUAAUCAACACAUACUCGGGUUUUCCAAUCUUUCUUUGACACUGGUACCACGUUAACCAACCACGUGGUGUAUCGAACAACUCGGAUCACACCGACUUUCAAUUGUUUUUUGAUCAUUUCCUUUAUCUUAUCACUGAUAUCAGUUUUGAAUUUUCUUUGCUUCUAUUGGAUAGGUGGAAAAUCGGGGUGUGUAGGCAGUUUGUGUACCACCAAAUAACAUUUCGUCCUGGCAUAUUAUCAUACGACCAUGCAAACACAUCUUUGAACUCAAAUAACAAUUGGAUCAAGACAUCCCUAGUUUUCUGAUUCGUAUGGAUGCUUAUCUUUGUUUUCUUGACCUCUUAUGAGUUUCCCAAAUUAAUUGGCUCGCUUUCAUUUAAGUUCAGCUUAGGGUUAUUCUCAAAUUAUUUCAAUUCUCUGUUUAUUUCAAUAAAAGCCUCAUCUUCAUCAUAUUCUGCUUCUUGAUUCAUUAUUUUGAAGUUAGACAAUAUUUUAGAAUCUGGGCAUGAAGUCCGCAAGCAUGUCAUGUUAUUAAAGUCCUCAUUAAUAGAACUGAAAAGAAGAUAAGAAAAAUAACAAAAUCAGGAAAAAGACAAAGACAAUCAUGGACGAUGAAAUAUUAAUUUCAUUUCAUUGAAUUUGAAAGAUAGAAGGGUUUACAUCAUAAAGUAAUACAGUAAAGUAAAAAUAUUCGGAUUACGCCCUGAAAUAACCCGAAAUGUAGAAAAGAUAGCAAGACUGACUACCUGUCUGACAGGGAAUGGGGCAACAUCCUAAUUUUUGAGCUUGAAAUCAGGGCCCACAUAUUGCACCUUGGCAUGGCUUGUGCCUCCCCCAGGCUAGACCAUAUUUGACUCAUAUAGCAUCUGUUUCAGAACUCCACAAAUCUUAUUUAUUUCCUCGGCCAUGAAGGCCUCUUCCUCUUCUUCCUCAUAUUUUGGUUUGACAAAGGACCGUGAGAGAUGUGGGAUAAGCUUUGAAAGGACCCAUACUUUGUGUUCCUUGGCCCAUCUUAUGUCAGCUGACGAGGGUUGGAAACCUAGCCCGGAGGUCUUCUCAUUCGUGAUUGGAGAGAUGGCCUGAGUAAUGCCCUACAAAGAUGCCCCCAGCACCUUUCCGGGAUUGUACCCAUUUCUGAUCAUUUGAGUGACGACCAUAACUGUGGCGCUUGAUAAACAAGGCUGAGUCAGCGGGGCCCCCUUCUUCAAAUUGGUUAGCUACCAUAAUUUAAAAGGCAUGGUAGACAAUAUGUUCACUGCCUUCUCUUGCUUCAAGGUAUGUGAAUGAGGGGUCCCGAUAGAUGGAUUGCUCAUCCUCUCCAUGGACGAUAAUUUCCUGAUUGUAGUGCAAUUUUCUGAUUGUCGUGCUCAAAGUUGACCAUCUAGCAAAGCGUGGAGGGAGUAGCUCUGACAAAAUGGAUCUAGGGUCUGUCAAGGAGAAAGUUAUAAGAUGUCUCCAUGUCCAGCCCUUGAUAGGUCACCUCAAAAUCCACUGGGCCAAUAGUCAAAACCAAGUUAAUUUCACCAAUAUUGUCCCUCUUGAUUCCAUCAAAAGCUCAAACAUAGACAUUAUUGGCACGGAUCUGUUCCGUACCAAUUUCUAUUAUUUAGAGUGUUGAUAGAGGAUAAAUAUAUACUCUUGAUACACCAUCCAACAUAACCCUUUUCAUGUAAUAUCCUUCGCACUUAACAGUCAAGUGAAGGGCUGUGUUGUGUGCAAUUCUCUCUGCAGACAAUUCACUGUUGCUAAAAGAUAUUUUAUUGACUUCAAAGAAUCUUUAGGACAUCCUCUCCAGCGGUGACACAGUUGCCUCAUCUGAUAUGUAAGCCUCAUUCAGAGUCUUAAGAAAUACCUUUCGAUGUUCCUCCGAACUCAACAUCAGAGACAAGAAUGAUAUUUGAGAGGGGGUCUUUCGGAGUUGAUCGACUAUUGAGUAUUCUGGAGCUUUCAUUUUCUUGAAGAACUCUUCAGCUUCGUCAUUUCUAACGGGUUUCUUUGGAGGCAUUUGAUUAUCCCUGUUUUGCUUGGCUUUUCUCAACUUGUCCGGGCUAUAGUACCUCCCAGUCCAGGUCAUUUCAUUCACCUCUCCUUCGAUUUGUUUCCCCUUAUAGGUAACAACAAUUUUAUUGUAGUUCCAGGGGACUGCCUUAGUAUCUUUCACUUGACUCUGGGGUGCGGGUAUGAUGACCACAGGCUCCUCGACCCCCGCACCACCUGUGGUGGUCCUCUUGGUAUGUACAACUUGGGUACAUUCAUCGUAAGCUUUAUCUCAUCAACUUUCUUUGGGAUAUUGAGGAAAUGUUGUUCUGUCCCUGAUGCUUUUGGUACAUAAAGAACCAAUUUCUUUUCUGGAGCACGAUCAAUUUUGGUUUCAACGACCUGAGGGACCAAAGUUUCCUUCUUUUCAGGCUUUGUGACUGCUUUGGAUUUCAACUCAGAUGUAUCAAUGGCGAUAAUGGCUUUCAGCACUAUAUUAAACUCUAGAUCAUCACAGAUCAUCCCGAUGACUGGCCCAUUGUUAUGAGCGGUCAAUGGAUUGUUAGUUAUAUUAGGGACCUCUUCUUUCCUAAGAACUAUUGCUUUGGCCUCAAUCAAGUCAUCUAUUGCCCUUUUGAGGGUCCAACAGUCUUCUGUGUCAUGGCCCACCACCCCCGAACGUUACUCACAUCUAGCAUUGGCCUGGUAUGAACGCGAUUCAAAGUUUGGCUGAUUUGGAACCACGGGUUGUAGUAAACCCAAUCUAGUCAGCUUCUGAAAUAAACUUGAGUAUGACUCACCAAUAGGGGUGAACUGGUUUCUACUGGGGGAUCCCUCAGAUCGGGGUUGUAUUGGGGUACAUUUUGUUGAGGAUGGAAAUUAUAUAGAGCUUGGUAGGGACAGAAAUAUUUGGAGGUGGAGCUCUAUGUUGGUAGUUUUGUGGUCGUGUAUAGGGUUGCGCGUUGAUCACCGCAUAGUGAGGUGGUGCCACGACAUAUGCAACAUCCUGAUGAGGUAAAUAAUGUUGUGGGGUUCUGUGAGGCAUAUAUGUUUGGUUAAAAGAUCUUCGGGGCCCCCUCGAACUCGAAGCCAGAUUGGCUCCCUCUCCUCUCUUCUUUCUAUUUGCCAAACCCCCGAGCCAUUUUGAAUAGCCUGUGAUGUGGCUUUAAAGGCAGCCUGACUCAAGAUUCGGCCUAUUUUUAAACCAUUCUCUACCUUCUCCUCGAUCUUGGUGGCCUCAGCAAACUGCUUUCCCAUGGACGACAUCGUAUUUUGGAAAUAUUUUGGUUGUUGGUAUUGUAGAAACACCGUGAUCAUUUUGAUCUCAUCCAUCAGAGGCUUUACCCUUGUGGCCUGCUCUCUCCACUUGAUUACCUAUUCAUGGAAACUUUUCGUGGGUUUAUUCUUCAAAUUGGACAAAGAGUUUCUAUUAGGUGCAAUGUCCAUGUUGUAUUUGUAAGGCCCCAUAAACCUUCUCCUAAACCCCCGGAUUCCAUGAUGCAAAAGUAGGCGUAGAGGUUAAUAAUAGUAGAAAUUCUUCGCGUCGAGCUUGUUCGCCGCGGUUCAGACUUUUUGUAUUGUACAGUGCGAUGGGAGUUGAAGGAAAAUGUUGGGCUGAAGUACGCAUUUCUGCGCCCUAUUCCGCGGCUGCAGAACCACUCUGCGGACCACACACUGGUUGCAGAGUGGGGCCAUUAUGCGACCGCAUAAAUAUUUCGCGGGCCACAUUCUUGUCGCAUAUCCCACCUUGGGAUUUUUUGGAGGGAGGUUUUGCGGUGCACUAUGUGACCGCAGAACAAUUCUGCGGUGCAUUAUGCGACCGCAGAACAGGUGUACGGGCCGCAUAGUGAUCGCAAACCAGACCAGUUUCUUUCCAGUUCUGGCCCCCAUUUUUGCGGUUAUUUCGCGGACCGUAUAACUACUAUGCGGUCGCAUAUGCGACCGCAGAACCCGUUCCAGAGAUUCAAUUUUGGGGUUUUUAAACCCGACCCUAUUUUGUUAAAACACAUCCCUUGGACCAUUUUGAUAAUAUUUUCUGAUAUUUUUAGAGUGAGAGAGAGGGUCUUAGAGGGAGAAGUGAUCUUCAUCACAUUGCUCUUCAAUUCUCACAUAAAAUCUUGAAGAUUAUCAAGAGAGACAUCUAGGUCUUUUUCCUAAGAGGUAGAAUUCUAUCACCNNNNNNNNNNNNNNNNNNNNUGAGCUAGAAUCAUGAUCAUCUUCCUAAUUUACGUCCAACUUGUUAUAUUUCUAAAAUAAAUUGAAGUUUCUAAGAAUUCCGGAUCAUUUUAGAGUUUGAGAAAUUGAGGUAUGUUGGCUAAACUCUCCUUCUUCUUAGAAUCAAACCCCACGGUGUUUAUGUAGUUGGAGUAAGCCCUUGAUCAUUAUAGAAUUGGCGAUUUCUAAUGCGUUUGUGUUGGAGAAUGUAAGUUCAAUAUUUAUUCUAAAUGCUUCAUCAUGAUAUCUUGUUAUUUGAGGAUGCAUUCAAAAUGUGGAACAUGUGCUAGCAAUGUUAAGACUUUAUGUCAAGAUCAAAAUAAAGAUUGUUAUGCCAAAUUGUAUGAAAAGCCUCUAUGUGCCCAAGAUUUCCUAAAUUGCCCAUAUGUGAAUUUAACGUCUUGAAUGGGAAGCCUUAUUGUUGUUGAUAAUAAUAAUGUUGGGAUGUGGAAAAGAACUUGAAUUAUGAAAUACGGUCUAGCGCCAAGAAUAAAUUCAUAAUUGGGGCCACUCGUGCCAUUAUAUUGAAAGUAUGGGAAAGAAAUAUGAAUUGAGAUGACUGAUUGAAUAUGGGUGAUGUCUCAAAUGAGAUGGCUUAGCCGAUCGGGCCAAGAUCGGACUCCGUUGUAAGAACACAGUGGUAUUGUGUGCGAAAUUAUAAAUAUGGUUGAUGUCUCAAAUGAGAUGACCUAGCCGAUCGGGCCGAGAUCGGAUUCUGUGUAAGAUCACGGUGGUAUUGUGGAUGAAAUUGUGAAAAUGGUUGAUGUCUCAAAUGAGAUGGCCUAGUCGAUCGGGCCAUGAUCGAACGCCAUGCCGCACACAUGGUGGAACUGUGCUGGAAAUUAUAAUGAAAUUAAGAUGACCUAGCCGAUCGGGCCGAUAUCUGACUCCGUGUAAGAAUAUGAAGGUAUUGUGAAUUGUGAAAUAUCGGUACUAAAGACCACCCAACCUAAUAAUAUGAAAAUUGACUCAAAAAUGUAUAUGAUCCUUAACUUGUUAUUUUAAUAUUAUUUGAAGCCCUUAUUGAAUUCUUGACUGUUCCUCUUGUAUUAUUAUUCAUUCUAUUGAGUUGGUGUUUAGCUUUAUAUACUAGUGCUAUUCGACGGUACUAACGUCCUUUUUGCCGGGGGCACUGCAUCUUUAAAUGGAUGUAGGUGGUUACAUAACAGACAAUGUUGAUUACAUAUAGUGCUGCAUCCUCUUCUCAGUGGACUCGGUGAGCCCCAUUCCAUUCCGAGUUCUUGUAUUGUACCUUUUAUUCAUAUUGUGGUAACUUUUGAGAUAUAGCCGGGGCCUUGUUGCCGGCACCAUCUUUACUCUCUUUUGUAUCUUUAGAGGCUCUAUAGAUACUAUAUGGGUUGUAUAUGGGUGUUGGGAAUGUUAAACAAGUAUAUGUUGUUUUUGAUCACUUGUUCCACUCAGACUAUAAGAAUCAGUGUAUUUUGAGACUUAAAGGCGAAAUAGCUAAUGAAACAGAUUAAUGUUGUAUGUAUGAAAUUCCUUAUGUCUAAUUAAUGAAAUCACGUCUUUUUUUGAUCAUGGGUUAAUUGGGUAGAUAGUAUCUAACAGGCUUGUUCGGCCGGGUUCACUCGAUUGAGCACCGGUCGCGCUUCUCGAGAUUGGGACAUGACAAACUUGGUAUCAGAGCCUAAGGUUUUAAAGUAUCCUAGGAUGUCUCAGAGCCGUGUCUGGUAGAGUCCUUAUCUGUGUGUUGUCGACCACAUCUAUAAGUUGGAGGCUACUUGGACAUUUAGGAACAAUACCCUUAUUUGAUAUUCUGGAUCGUGCGAUGAAACUAAAUGUGCAACUGUUCCUCCUCUAACUCGUGCAUUCCUUUACUUUCAGUAUGUGGCACCUAAGAGGAGAGCAAGAACUGGCCAAGGAGCCAACACCGCAUUAGGAGUGGCAGUUGACCCUUUAUUUAAUGAUGCGGGUGAACACCCGAAAGGUGAGGAUAAUCCCCCGACUGCUACACUACCUAAUUCCACUACACCGGCCCAGGCCACACCCAGAGGCGAAGGUAGGGAUUUAAGUGUGUGGGUUCUAAAUUUUAAAAUAAAACACUGCUUUCAGCGGGAAUCGAACCCCCAUCUUUCUCAGCGAACCCACAACCCUUACCGUUGAACCAAGACCCCUUUUGUUACUGGGUUCGGCAGUAUAUAUUUCUAUAGAUUUAGUAAAUAUUUCAAUACAAAUACAAGGUUCUGAAAAAAGUCACUGGGUUCGCCCAAACCCGCACCCACUACUGUAGCUCCGCCCCUGGCCACACAAGUUCCUACACCUACUGAAGGUGCGACAGUUCCUCCACCUGAUAUUCCGAUUCCACCUCCAGCCCAACUUCCGGUUCUAGAAUUUUUGGUGGGGAUCUUCGGGGAGCUAUUUAGAUGCUGACACGGAUAGUGGAUUCUCAAGCCCAGCGAUCAAAUGUUGCACCCACUUCGUCUAGCCAACAAGGGGAUUCUACUAGUUCUACGGUGAACAGAUUUCUGUAGUUGGAUCCUCCGGUGUUCAUGGGUGCUAAUCUCGAGGAGGACCCACAGGACUUCGUUGAUGAGAUGCAUAAGACUCUCUAGGUAAUGCGCGCUACUAAGACGGAGGAAGUGGAGUUGGCCGCCUACCAUCUGAAGGGGGUGGCAUAUUCAUAGUUUGAGCUAUGGGAGGACAUUCGGGAGGAGGGAGCCCUCCAGCGAGAUGGAGUGAGUUUGUUGAUGCCUUUAUAGACCAUUUCUUGCCUGUUGAGACUAGGGCAGCCCGUGUCGCAGAGUUUGAGAAUCUUAAGCAAGGGAGUAAGAGUGUGUGGGAGUAUCACAUGGAGUUCACGCGCCUGUCAAAAUAUGCUAUUCACAUGUUGCUUAUUAUAGAGGCUAGAGUGCGCUGGUUUGUGCAGGGCCUUAGCCCCUUGGUUAUCAAUGAGGCCGCUACACCUGCCUUGAAUUCAGACAUGAACUAUGGGAAAAUGGUAGCAUUUGCUCAAGCUACAGAAGACCGUAAGUUGAAGAACAUGAGAGAGCGAGAGGGUACCAGCAAGGCCCGGUCCACGGGCAACUUUGGGGAGUCGUUUGGUGGGGGGAGAUCAACUUUCAGGGGAGGCUCAUCCAGGCCAACCCAUUCUCAUGCUCAGUCUUCAGCUAGUACACUACCAGCGGGGCACAAUCAGCAGCAUGGGAGUCUCUUCAGGCCCAAUCAGGGCAGUAGGGAACCUCACCAUCAGGGCCGACCAGGAGGGAGAUUCCCGCAACAACGGAGGCCCCCAUUCCCCUGGUGUGGGAGGAUGCACUCAGGGAUCUGCUACAUAGACUUACCUAUAUGUUACGGGUGUAGAUUGAGGGAUCAUAUUUAGAGGGAGUGUCGUUCAUCCCGCCAGGGUACGGGCAGGGGCACAACACAGCCAUCCAGUUCUGCAACUGCUACAUCUUCAGCACCCCCUCCAGCUCGAGGCACUCUAGCAUCAGCAGGGCGUGGUGAAGCUAGGGGUUCCGCGCAUAGUUCAGGAGGACCCAACCAUUUCUAUGAUAUGAGCGGUCGCUAGAAUGCAGAGGCUUCUCCAAAUGUUGUUAUAUGUAUAUUGACUGUCCAAACUCAUGAUGUAUAUGCUCUUAUUGAUCCCAGUUCCACCUUGUCCUAUGUUACCCCUUAUGUUGCUAUGGAAUUUGGGAUAGAACCGGAAUAACUCCUUGAGACGUUCUCUGUAUCUACUCCGGUUGGCGAGUCUAUUGUGGCCGCAUGAGUUUAUAAGGGUUGUGUUGUCACGGUGUGUGGUCGGGACACCGUGGCUGAUCUCAUUGAAUUGGGGAUGGUUGAUUUUGAUGUAAUUAUUGGAAUGGAUUGGCUUUAUUCAUGUUUUGCCAAGCUCGAUUGCCGAACUAGAACUGUGAGGUUUGAGUUUCCUAAUGAGCCAGUUAUUGAGUGGAAGGGGGAUAAUGUGAUACCAAAAGGUAGGUUUAUUUCUUACCUUAAGGCCACAAAGAUGAUUAACGAGGGGUGUAUUUACCAUUUAGUCCAAGUUACGGACACCACUGCUGAGGCACCUACCCUCGAGUCAGUGCCAGUUGUGAAUGAAUUUCUGGAGGUCUUUCCUGAUGAGCUCCCCGGGAUUUCGCCAGACAUGGAGAUUAAUUUUGGGAUUGAUGUGAUGCCAGGCACACAACCUAUAUCUAUUCCGCCCUAUAGGAUGGCAGCAACAGAAUUGAAGGAACAAUUGAAGGAUUCGUUAGAAAAGGGUUUCAUCUGACUGAGUGUAUCACCAUGGGGCGCACCGGUCCUCUUUGUGAGGAAGAAAGAUGGAUCAUUGAGGAUGUGCAUUGACUACCAGCAGCUCAACAAAGUCAAAAUCAAAAACAAAUACCCACUACCAAGAAUAGAUGAUUUGUUUGAUCAGUUAUAGGGUGCUAGAUACUUCUUCAAAAUUGAUUUACGAUUCGGGUACCACCAAUUGAAGAUCAGGGAGCAGGAUAUUCCCAAAACAGCUUUCAAAACCUGGUAUGGGCACUUUGAAUUUCUGGUAAUGUAUUUUGGGCUAACAAAUGCCCCAGCAGCUUUCAUGGAUCUUAUGAAUCCGGUUUUCAAGCCUUUCCCUGACUCCUUUGUGAUAGUGUUCAUUGCCGAUAUUCUUGUGUAUUCACGAGAUCAGGAGGACCAUGCCGAUCAUCUCAAGGCAUGCGGGGUAGAAAAUCUUCUCUCAAAAAGAGGCAGUUUUACAGACCCUUCAUCUACACUAAUUGUAUGCAAAGUUUUUAAAGUGCGAAUUUUGGCUCGAAUCUGUCACAUUCUUAGGUCAUGUUGUCUAUAGAGAAGGAAUCAAGGUUGAUCCUCAAAAUAUUUCAGCAGUAAAGAAUUGGCCCCGACCUACAACGCUAACUGAGAUUGGCAGAUUCUUGGGCUUAACAGGGUAUUACAGGAAGUUUGUGGAGGGGUUCUCUACUCUUGCCUCUCUGUUGACUAAAUUGACUCAGAAGGCAGUUAAGUUCCAAUGGUCCGAUGCUUGUGAAAGGAGCGUCCAGGAGUUGAAAUCGAAAUUGACUACGACACCGGUGUUAACCCUGCCAUAGGGUACAAAAUGGUUUAUGGUAUAUUGCGAUGCUUCAAGAAUUGGUCUUGGGAGUGUAUUAACGCAACACGAUAAUGUUAUAGCAUAUGCUUCUAGGCAACUCAAAAAUCAUGAAAAGAAUUAUCCAACACAUGACUUAGAACAGGCGGUGGUUGUUUUUGCAUUGCAAUUUGGCGUCACUAUUUGUAUGGGGUCCAUGUGGAGGUAUUCACGGACCACAAGAGGGUUCAAUAUAUUUUCAAACAAAAGGAGAUGAAUCUGAGGCAAAGAAGAUGGCUUGCGUUACUCAAGGAUUACGACAUCGAUAUUCUAUAUCACCCAGGGAAAGCCAAUGUUGUGGCAGAUACUCUUAGCCAGAAAUCUAUGGGUAGUUUGGCUCACUUGGAGGUAUAUCAAAGGCCAUUGUCCAAGGAAGUCCAUCGAUUGGCUAGUUUGGGAGUUCGUCUUACGGACUCUAGUGAAGGAGGGAUAAUUGUGCAAAAUAGGGUUGAAUCAUCACUUGUUGUGCAAGUCAAAGAGAAACAAUACAACGAUCCAUUUUUGGUGCAAUUGAAGGAGGGGAUUCAAAAACAUAAGACUACGGCUUUUGCUCUUGGGAUGGAUGAUGGUACACUAAGGUACCAAGGGUGACUAUGUGUUUCGGAUGUAGAUGGUCUCCGGGAAAGAUUCAUGACUGAGGCUCACGCUUCUAGGUAUUCUGUACAUCUAAGUUCUACAAAGAUGUAUCAUGACCUCAAGGAAACCUAUUGGUGGAAUGACAUGAAAAGGAAUGUGGCAGACUUUGUGACAAGGUGUCCGAAUUGUCAGCAAGUGAAGGCCGAACAUCAACGGCCUAGUGGGUUGGCACAUAACAUAGAAAUUCCAAUGUGGAAGUGGGAGAUGAUUAAUAUGGAUUUUGUGGUAGGAUUACAGUGCACUCUGUGCAAGUUUGACUCAAUUUGGGUGAUCGUGAACCGACUCACAAAAUCAGCACACUUCUUGCCUGUUAAAUCUACCAACACAGCGGAACAAUAUGCUCAGUUGUAUAUCAAGGAAAUAGUCAGACUACAUGGCACUCCAGUUUCUAUCAUAUCCGAUCGAGGGGCUCAGUUCACGGCCAAUUUUUGGAAGACAUUUCAGCAAGGUCUGGGUACUCAGGUGAAUCUUAGUACAUCCUUCCAUCCAUAGACCGAUGGGCAAGCAGAGCAGAUUAUUCAGACGCUUGAGGACAUGUUGCGUGCUUGUGUUCUUGAUUUUAAGGGUGGCUAGGAUGAUCAUUUUCCACUCAUAGAGUUUGCUUAUAACAACAACUUUCAUGCAAGUAUUCAGAUUGCACCAUUUGAGGCAUUAUAUUGUAGGAGAUGUAGAUCUCCCAUUUGGUGGUUCGAGAUUGGGAAAGCAGAGUUGAUAGGGCCAAACCUUGUACAUCAGGCUAUGGAAAAAGCUAAGAUCAUAAAGGAACGGUUGAAAACUGUCCAGAAUCGUGAAAAAUGCUAUUCGGAUGUUUGUCGCAAAGACUUAGAGUUCAAAGAAGAUGAUUGGGUAUUCUUGAAGGUUUCCCCCAUGAAGGGUACUAUGCGGUUUGGGAAAAAAGGGAAAUUGUAUCCGAGGUAUGUCGGGCCAUUCGAAAUCACUCAGAGAAUUGGCCAGGUGGCGUACAAGCUUGAGCUACCAUGUGUCUAUGUUGAAGAAGGUAGUUGGAGAUCCGUCAGCUAUUGUGCCGGUUGAGACCAUUGAGGUUAAUGAAGAAUUAUCAUAUGAAUAAAUUCUAGUUGCCAUUCUUGAUAGGCAAGUCCGAAAGUUGAUGAAUAAAGAAAUUGCCUCCGUGAAGGUGUUAUGGCGAAACCAAGAGGUUGAAGAUGCCAGUUGGGAGGCCGAGGAAGAGAUGAAGAAGAAGUAUCCUUACUUAUUUGAAUAGUUGUGUAAUCCUUUUAUGAACUUGUCGCCUAUGAAUUUUGUAUCAUUUGUUCAGUUAAUGUAAAGGUGUUACUUUUGAUUAUAUGUUGUUUAAAUGAGGCCACGGUUGGUGUUGUUAUGAGUUAUGCUACAUUGUUGGAUUCUGUACAUGUUGUUAGGAUGUCAUUCUGGGGCUCUCUGACAGGUGGAUAGGCCUAGUUACAAAGGAAACUAUAGCGAAAGUUUUGGAAAUUUGAGGAGUUAGUUAAAUUUGGGACUGCUGGUGUGAGGUAUGGAAAACUGAGUUGUACAAGGUACUAAUAAUGGACCCGAAACCACUCAGCGGACCGCAGACUGGUCUCAGAGUGGAGCAGAUUUCUGGGGAAUUUUUGAUGUCCAAUUUCACGGCCAUUAUGCGACCGCAUAAACGUUUCACGGGCCGCAUUCCUGUCGCAUAUCCCACCUUGGGAUUUUUCAGAGGGAGGUUCUGCGGUGCACUAUGCGACCGCAGAACCAUUAUGCGGUGCAUUAUGCGACUACAGAACAAGACUGCGGGCCGCAUAGUGAUCACAAACCAGACCAGUUUCUUUUCAGUGCUGGCCCCCAUUUUUGCGGUUAUUUUGCGGACAGCAUAACCACUAUGCGGUCGCAUAUGCGACCUCAUAACCCAUUCCAGAGCUUUAAUUUUGGGGUUUUUAAACCCGACCCUAUUUCGUUAAAACAUCUCCCAUGGACCAUUUUGAUCAUAUUUUCUGAUAUUUUUAGAAUGAGAGAGAGGGUUCUAGAGGGAGAAGUGAUCUUCAUCACAUUUAUCUUCAAUUCUCACUUAAAAUCUUGAAGAUUAUCAAAAGAGGCAUCUAGGUCUUCUUCCUAAGAGGUACGAUUCUAUCACCCAAAUUCUUAAUUUCAAAAUAUAACUAGAAUGGGCCAUUAGUAAGGUAAUUCAUGGGGAUGGGAGUGCUUACCUUGCAUGCAUGUAUCCUUGUAGUAUGUGGGAAGAUUGUGAGCUAAAAAUGAUAGAGACUGGGUUGGGGAAUGAUGAAAUCUUCCACAAAAAGGGCCUUAAAACAUUGAUGCAUACCUAGUAUUUUAUAAUAUACUCAAAUGAGCUAGAAUCAUGACCAUCUUCCUAAUUUUGAUCCAACUUGUUAUAUUUCUAAAAUAGAUUAAAGUUUCUAAGAAUUCCGGAUUAUUUUAGAGUUUGAGAAGAUCAAUUGAGGUAUGUUGGCUAAACCCCCCUUCUUCUUAGAAUCGAACCCUACAUGUUCAUGUAGUUGUAGUAAGCCCUUGAUCAUUAUAGAAUUGGCGAUUUCUAAUGUGUUUGUGUUGGAGAAUAUAAGUUCAAUAUUUAUUCUAAAUGCUUCAUCAUGAUAUCUUGUUAUUUGAGGAUGCGUUCAAAAUGUGAAAUAUGUGAUAGCAAUGUUAAGACUUCAUGUCAAAAUCAAAAUAAAGGUUGUUAUGCCAAAUUGUAUGAAAAGCCUCUAUGUGACUAAGAUUUCCUAAAUUGCUCAUAUGUGAAUUUAACGUCUUGAAUGGGAAGCCUUAUUGUUGUUGAUGAUAAUAAUAUUGGGAUGUGGAAAAAAACUUGAAUUAUGAAAUACGGCCUAGCGCCAAGAAUAACUUUAUAAUUAGGGCCAUUCAUGCCAUUAUAUUUAAAGUAAGGGAAAGAAAUAUGAAUUGAGAUGACUGAUUGAAUAUGGGUGAUGUCUCAAAUGAGAUGGCCUAGCCAAUCGGGACGAGAUCGGACUCCGUGUAAGAACACGGUGGUAUUGUGUGCAAAAUUGUGAAUAUGGUUGAUGUCUCAAACGAGAUGGCUUAGCCGAUCGGGCUGAGAUUGGACUCCGUGUAAGAACAUGGUGGUAUUAUGGAUGAAAUUAUGAAAAUGGUUGAUGUCUCAAAUGAGAUGGCCUAGUCGAUCGGGCCGUGAUCGAACGCCAUGCCGCAUACAUGAUGGCACUGUGUUAGAAAUUAUAAUGAAAUUGUGGUAAUGUCUCAAAUGAGAUGGCCUAGUUGAUCGGGCCGAGAUCGGACUCCGUGUAAGAAUACAGAGGUAUUGUGAAUUGUGAAAUAUCGGUACUAAAGACCACCCAACCUAAUAAUAUGGAAAUUGACUCAAAAACGUAUAUGAUCCUUAACAUGUUGUUUUAAUAUUAUUUGAAGCCCUUAUUGAAUUCUUGGCUGUUCCUCUUGUAUUAUUAUUCAUUCUAUUGAGUUGGUAUUUAGCUUUACAUACUAGUUCUAUUCGACAGUACUAACGUCCCUUUUGCCGGGGGUGCUGCAUCUUUAAAUGGAUGCAAGUGGUUACAUAGCAGACAAUGUUGAUCACAGAUAGUGCUGCAUCCUCUUCUCAGCAGACUCGGUGAGCCCCUUUUCAUUCCGUGGCCUUGCAUUGUACCUUUUAUUCAUAUUAUGGUCACUUUUGAGGUAUAGCUGGGGCCUUAUUGACGGCACCAUCUUUACUCUCUUUUGUAUCUUUAGAGGCUCCGUAGACACUAUGUGGGUUGUAUAUGGGUGUUGGGAAUGUUAAACUAGUAUAUGUUGUGUUUGAUCACUUGUUCCACUUAGACUAUAAGAAUCGGUGUAUUUUGAGACUUAAAGGCGAAAUAGUUAAUAAAAUGAAUUAAUGUUGUGUGUAUGAACUUCCUUCUGUCUAAUUAAUGAAAUCACGUCUUUUCUUGAUCAUGGGUUAAUUGGGUAGAUAGUAUCUAACAGGCUUGCUCGGCCGGGUUCACUCGGUUGAGUGCCAGUCGUGCUUCCCGAUAUUGGGGCGUGACAGUAUUAGAACUGACAGAUGAAAUCCCGGGCUAGAUCAUCCCAUACGUGACAAUGGGCAAUUUUCUGAUCCAUAUACUUUUUAGACGCCAUUCAUGUGAGGCUUUCUCCGAAGUAGGCCAUUAGUAACUUUUCCUUCCUACCAACACCCCUCAGCUGGUAGCAGUAUCAUUUCAAGUGGGCUAUCGGGUCUUCGUGCCCAUCAUACUUUUCAAAUUUAGGGGUCUUAAAGCCAGCUGACAAAUGUACAUGUGGGAACAAGCAUAGAUCAGAAUAAGAGACACUCUUUUGGCCGCUCAAGCCUUGCAUAUUUUUUAAGCUUUGCUCUAGACUCUUCAUCUUUCGAGCCAUUUCUUCCUGCUCAGGAUUUUUAACAACUUUCUCUUGCUCAACAGUAAAGUCAUAUUGAGGAGGUUGGGUGAAUGAAUCUGAGGUGACAUAUGUGACUUCUGGUGGAAAGUGUGGACCUUGGAAAGUGAGGGUUUGAGGCUCGGUGUACGGCCUGGGUAUGUUUGGUUGUUAUGUAGUGAAAACGUGUGCUAUAGAUAAAACUACCGGUGGUACCCUUGAAACCGGUGCAUGGGGACGAAUCACAGAAGGCAUUCUUCAAAUAUUAUUUGGCAUGGAAGGGUACCCGUACAGAAUAAACGGGUUCGUCAUAGGGAUAUUAGUGGCCCCGGCCGUUCUGGAAAUCCAGGUAUGGCACUUGGAAGUUCUUUCCCAUUAGUCCAUGCAUCCAACAUCUCCAUCAUACGUAGGCGCAACAUUCAGUUUUCCUUGGCCACAACUGACUCUAGCGGAAUAGCUGGUGCUAGGCUAUCCUCAGGAUUGACGAUUGAUAGAGUACUCUCAGAAGCCAUUGGAACCUUUCUUUUGAGCGGGUAAAGUACGGAUGGGAAGCCAAAAUACCACAAAACCAACCACCUUAAAAUGGAACCUGACUUUGAGCACACACAACAAACUUGUUAGUUCAGAGCAUUUAACAGAUAGAAAAUUGCAUGUUGGGAUAUAAUGCACCUAGCAGUUAAAAUGCUUCUAUCGUGUUUGAACGGUUGCAUGUUUCAUCUCGGCCCUUAUUGCCUCAUUUACUCUCCAACUCUUUUCGUUCACUUCAAGCUCUUUUUUCUUGUUUCAUCACUCUUUGUUUUUCUUCUUUUUGUUUGCUUUUCACUCGGUUUAUUUAUGGUUUUGAUCGCAUCCGAUGAGGAUUGCCUACGUAUCAUGACGCUGUAUGAAUCAGACCAUUACAUAAUUCAGGGAGAUAAAUGUAAAAUAAAAAUAGAGAAUUUUUGGAUUUUUAAUAUUUCAUUAAAUAAAAUAUUUGUGUGUUUUUCAUUACAAAGACUCAAAACGACAUUAACUGACUCCGAAAAGGAACAUACAAACUCAAAAAUGAAAGAUAAUCAACAGACUCGAAACAAACAAUAAACAACAGACUCGAAAUGGACAAAACAACAGACUCGUGAUAGGAAAGUAAACUACAUACUCGAUAAUAAAAACAACUGAUACAAUUGGAAGACCAACUCUGAAAGAGCCUCUAGAUCAAGCAUAACCUGGCGGGCAAAAGUCAACACCGUGGCAAAGAACAUGGCCUUGGUCAUCUGUUCACAGUCAUUGCAUUUGUUGGCGGUAUAGUCAGCUAUUUCCCGCAUCCUAAACUUUGUGAUUGUAUGAUCUUGGUGCAUUAGUCUAAUCUGCUCAUCCCGGGCUUCUACCAACAGCUGGGCCUAAUUAAAUGUAGGAAAGAGUCUAAGAGCCUAAACCGGUCAAAAUACCCUAUACAACCUCGGGUACACACCCGUCACCUCAUGUACACGUCUUUCACAUAAUAAAAACAAUAAAAAUCAACCCAAGUCCUAAGGGGUAGUUCCACCACACAAAGUUAGACAAGAUACUUACCUCAAACAAGCUAAAUCAACCCGCUAGUAAGCCUUUCCCGUGAAAAUCCAACUCCGGAUGGCUCGAAUCUAGCCAAAAUAACUUAAUACUAUAAAUACAAACCAUAGAAAACGAUUCCGGAUAUUAAAGUUGCAAUCUUUAAAGAAAAUCAAAAAGUCAUCUCAAAAAGUAAACACCAGGCCCGCACUUCGAAAAUCGACCAAACUUACAAAAUUCUAACACCCAUUCAGAUACGAGUCCAAUCAUACAAAAAUUAUCCAAUUCCGACCUCAAAUCGAACUUCAAAUCCUCAAUUUAUAGUUUAGGAAAGUUUUCACAAAAUCCCUAAUUUCUCUAACAUAAAACACUAAUUAAAUGAUAAAAACAAUGAUGGAAUCAUGAAUAAUACACAAAUCUGAGUCAAAAACUCUUACCCCGUUCUAAUCCUUGAAAAUUGUCACGCCACGAACCUGGGGGGCAAGACCGGCACCCGGUACCUUACUCAAUCGAGUACCAAUAUAACCUAUCUUUUCUUAUCAUACUAUCAUAGAUAACUGAGCAACAGAGGCUGCCUUGAGAUAGGUAGAAUACAACAUGUAAUACCAACUUAUACAUAAGACAUAUGGACCUAUAAGACCAAAAUAACCACUCGUACACUGAACAUAGGCCGACAAGGCCAUACAAUCUUUUACGUACAUGACAUCUGUCUACAAGCCUCUAAUAAUACAUAAUUGUCAUAAAGGUAGGGACAGAGCCCCGCCAUACCAAACAAUACACAUCUAAAUCAUACUGACCAAACAAGCAACUCCGGAGCAAAUAGAGUGCACCAACACUUCCACUGAGCUGAUCGCCUACUUGGAGGACUCUCGACCUGUCUAUCGAGACCUUCGGGCAUUAAACGCAGCGUCCCCAGGAAAAAGGGACGUCAGUACAAAUAAUGUACCGAGUAUGUAAGGUAAUAUACUGAAAGCUGAAACUAAACCGAUAAUAUAAUAACUGAAAGUAACUGGGAGUCAAAGAUAAUCUAAUGAUAUGCUUACCUGCUGAUACUGACUCAACUCUCUCAAUAUAGAAAGUAAAAUAGUUGUUCGGCUCUAUAAGGGUCGGUAUAUAUACAACUUCUCUGCCAUAGUAGGCUCGCUCAUAGGCGCUCGGCCAUACUAGGCUUUGUAUCUUGGCGAACUNNNNNNNNNNNNNNNNNNNNNNNNNAAAUACUGUAAUACUGUAUAUAUAGGCUCUCUGCUCUCUUGACUGGAAGAAGACAAUACUUAAUUGAAUAUGAAGUCCUGAUAAGGAGAAUACUCUGAUUUAUGAAACUAGGAUAAUGUAUAUAAAUUCGGGAGUAUGAACUUCUCUUUAUGCCUCGUUAUCAAACACAUGUAAUUAUGAGAUCAUGCCAAAAUGAAGGAAGGGCUUAGCCUUAAGAUACCUGAACCGAUUCUCUUGACAAUUCCUCUAACACACGUCUUUUGCGAAAACACGUGACGGCGGAUCGAAGUAGGAAAAAAUCUGUAUGAUAUUCUUGAGAAAGAUUGUACCGUGCUCCCUUGGAAUUUGCAAACUCAUGCUGCCAUUACAUAAUAAUAUUUUCGUAUGAAUUAUUGAAGAAACUCAUGUUACUAUUGCAACCUUAUCUUUACUGAAGCUCUCUUUGAAUUGUAGAGAUUCAAAAAUGAGAUUAAGAGCUCUCUUUGGUCUUUUGGGUGUGGGCCCCACUUUAGGGAAUGAUUUGGCCACCAAACAUCCUUUAAUUUUUGCCACCUUAUUAAGUGAUUUAAGUGUCAUUAUUCAAGACCUCUUUGGCUGCCACAUUCCCAUAAUCUCACGUGACUUGCCCCCUAAUACUUAUCCAAGAUCUUACAUAAAUAAUUGUUCUCAAACUUUUAUUUAAUUUGUUAACUUCCCACUCAAAUCAAUUAUUAAUCAAAUAUCCACAUAAUUAAGAAUUAUCUCAAAUUACUUAAAAUACUAUUCACUUUUAACACACUGUAUACACCUUACUAUUAUGGUCAUGUGGUACCUUGUAUGGCACUAGUUCAUAAAUACCAGGUAUUUUAGCUCGGGCCGUAUUUUAUCCCGAAAUGUCAAACUUCGACGAAAAUUCAUUUUCUUCGAUUUGCUUACCUUCUCACCUUCACGAAUUUACUUAUCCCUUGUUUGAAAUAGCGUAAUACUUAUAAUCCCAAAAUAAUCUCAUUCCCGAGCUUACGUCGAUUAACUUACGAUGAAACUUCAACAUACGAAAAUGCAAGAUGUAACAUCUCAUUUCCGAGCUUCCAUUAAUUUACUUAUGGCGUACUUUCACGUACGAAAAUAUGGGGUGUAACAUCACUCCCCCCUUUGGAACAUUCGUCCUCGAAUGUUGACUGGUCCACUUAUCAUUAUCAUAACCUAUAGCUCUUAUGAAUACUUUAGUACUCCUCUUACCAUCUAGGCAACUGUGCUGUGAAUGAAUCCCAAAGGCCAGGGCAUUCCCCCCUUUUGGCCUCUUUCUCACACCACGACUCAUGAUCGGAAUCCUCCCAAUCUUGUAACUGUUGCUACCUUAUAUCAUGCAGCCUGUACGACUCUGACUUUGUAAGUGCGCCUAUGCGAUUUUUCUCUCCUUCUUUUUCCUCAAGCUUUUAGCCAAUAUUUAGGCUUCACUUUGUGUUCAUAUAUAAAAUUAUGUCAAGAUGUCCCUCUGGGCGUCAUUAGCUUUACUUCAUCUAAGUAGGCCAUACUAUACCAUAAUUCUUACUUCGAUUUAUCGUUACCGAGGUCUGCUACCAAACUCCAGGUUACUCUCGUUGCUUAUCCUAUAUGCAUAAAGCUAAGUCUUUUAAUGCUUCUUCAUUACUGUUCAUCUUAAGACUGAUGGCCUAAUCUCACCUCGUACUUUGCAGCUUUUACCCAUCCAUUGUUGAUUUACCUCAAUAUUGAUCUAUAAUCUUUCAUUGAUAACUUGAAACUUCUUACGUAAUAUAUUGCCACUAGGUCUUACGCUGCAUCGUGGAACUUUUGAAGUGAUUUUCCUGAUCCACCUGGGGGCGAUACUAUACUUUUAUAACCAUAUUUCAUAGCAUCCCAAUGUGAUUUUCAUCACGUGUGUAUUUUAAUCCUCUACAAUUCAUGAAAUUAUUACUCAAUCGAAGGCCCAAAUGCCAUCUUUCAUUUAUCACAAUUACACCCUCAUUCUACUACCAGGGCAGCAUUCCAUCUCUUCUAAAUGCUACUAGUCUUAGACUCCUUUGAGUUCACUCAGUCUAUACUGAGCUUUCUAUAACUUAGAGAAAGCAUUAGCUCUCUUGUUUUCAUGGGCUUAAUCCUGAGGACUUAUUCAUUCUCGUCACCUUUUCACUCGCCCUUUCUUAUCCUUACUUAUGCUUUCCUAAAAAAUUGUCGCUUUUCCAUACUUUAGCUUACGGCCUACACAUCUCUAUUUAUACUACUCACAACCUUCCUUUAACUUACUUGCACCAUAGAUUUCCUCGUGUUAUUCGGGAACAUCAAGCGAGACAUCACAUCGUCUCUAACUCUUCUUUACUCUUUUAAUUAGACCUUUUGAUACAUAGAAACCAUAGGCCGAAAAAUAUUCCACUGACGAUGUCGUUAUCAUUCCUGGAUACUGAGUCUCAGUACUUCUGGCCUUCUAUCUGAAGUGUGGACUAUUCACAACCUUCUGCAUUUGAGUAUCUUGUAUGUUGUUCACCUUUACCUUACUUACAUUAAAAUCUCUCCUUACAUCUUCUAUUUCUUUUAUGAUCUCCUUUCCACAUAGUAUAAUUCACAUCCAUGACUUGAAGCUCUAUUAUAAUACUUGCACCUCUAGUGCAUACACAAUCCGGUGGGAGCUUCAUACUUACUUCUUAUGAGGCUGGUACUCUUCUAACUGGCUUUCUCGUAGAGCCGUUAUGGAAUACGGUUGUUGUACUAUCUCUCUUGUACCCUUGAUAUUAAGGGUGAUUCUGUAAUGUUUUCAAUCACGAUUUCUAUAUUUUUUUGGAUCCAAUAAUGAGACUCCUGAUUUACUUGGUUGAUGUAACUCUUUAGUUUCCUCUUCCUUCUGAUCAACCUUUAUAUAGGCUUAAUCUAUCUUCCGAUUUAUGGCUCCUGAUAUUAAUUAUUACUUUAGCCUUUCAUGGGCGCUAUGGAAUAUCCAUGAUAUAAUCUUCUGACAAUUCAAUCCUUUGUCUAUGCCCUAGGCUCAAUUCCUUCUUUUAACUUAUACCGGAGUCUUCUACGGCUGUAUGAAUGUCAACAUAUAUGCUGCAUGGAUAUCACUCUGAAGUCUUAAGUGCAUAAUCUCUUUUGUUCCUUUUGAGCUUCCUUUAAACGUAAACUGUUACUUUUUCUGGUCUUUCUGCCCCUUUGUUGCGUGUAUACUUAGCUUAUAUUAUUUCUCACACAUGCCGGAAUUUUUGUGCAACUUACAUGGUCUCAAAUAUAACUUCUGAUUUUACUCCCCGUACAUUAACCACAGUAGGUGCCACUUUCUUAUGAAGUGCAUACAAUAUUGUUGUGAGACUGUUGUUACACGACCAUUUCCUCUUUAGGUCACUAUGCUUAGGUUGAGACUUUUUCCUUAUUUCCUCUGCUAGUCUUUUAUUGUAGUACUCCCUCUGACUCUUGUAAAGCUGCGAGCUUAUUACAUCGCAUUCCUGAUAGAAUUUUUGAUGUUAUUUCUUACUUGUAAUUAUCCUUACUUACCUUCAUGCCCUUGUGCUCGUAGGGUUGCUUCUGAGAUGAUAUUUUGAUUGUCUUCCCAGUCGCACUCUCUUUUAUCUCCGUAACCCUCAUACGGUAUCGUUACUACCCCAACUUCUAUCUUAAUAUUUCUCAAGGAUUACGAUGUCAUAACUGCGAGGUUGAAUUCACUAUAUUGGGUUUACUAUGUUUAUCUUGCAUGAUAUGUUGAUUUGUCUGUAUCCUCUUAUCUAGCCAUAGCUAGGCUCUUCCUAAAUCAACUACUAACUACUCGUUGGCCCAUUCUCAUAUCUAUAUUCCGCGUAAUCCCUCUUAGGUUAUUUUCUUUGUCUUAACUUACCUCUUGCACUAGCUCCUUAUGUCUCAAGUGUUUAUUCACACUUAUUUAUCAAUAACAUCCUAGGGGAAACCCUUACUGCCUCUCCUCGGUGUUGUAGUUGCAUUAUGUUCUGGAGUCGUAGCAUAUCUGUAGGAUUUGGAUAGGUGCAAUCUCAUUCCUUUCUCAUUUUUAUCGCUUUCUUCCUUUACCAUUCCAUAGUUACUAGAAACACUUACUUCCGACUUAAUGCCACAUUACUCCAUUCCCCCCCUUUAGGGGAGUACUAAGAUUUAGUGCUACGAUGAUCUACGUAUAGAUGUUUUGCCUCUUCAUUUUUGGCGUCUUUUCACAUAAUCGAUGACCCUUACUCACCUUGCGGUAAUCCUUUUAUACCGAGGAUAACAAAUUUCCUUACUCGCGAGGGUGACACUUAGUAUAACUGGCACAUACAGUCCCUUAAGCUUAACUUUUCUCACAUUGCUUGCUUUAAGGAAGCGUCUUCCUGAAAGACCAUUCUCUGAAUUUCUCAUGAUUCUUCUUCUGUUGUCCAUUCUAUUAUCGCCGGAGUGAAAUCUGAAAUUCUCAUGAUAUCAUCCAUUAUCACCUCACUCAGUCCCUAAUUCAUAUUUAGUUUAUCUUGUUCACCAGCCCAUACUGAUUUCUGUUAUUCUGGGGUCUAACUUUUCCUUCUAGUAGUAGCGUUGGAGUCAGGGACUUAUUUCUCAAAAUGAGAAUAUGACUUUAUGGUCUAUACUCUUUUGUUGUUUCCUGGCCUGACACCUCUCAUCUUUUCCUUCCCUUGACUAUAGACUAUGUAAUACUGUCAUUUCAUUUUUCUUUUCUACCGUUGUCAUCCAUGUAUCACAUCUUACUUAUAAUGCUUCAUUAACUCUCUUCUUAUUUUCUGCUACAUUUAUGUCUAUCACUUUAUUCUGAAAACUCAAACAAGAUAUUCUUUUGCUUUUGUCUCCCCUUGCUCCAUCCACUGGAUCUUCGGGUUGCCUAACAUUCUUUCUCUACUAGGGACGGGAGCCAUACUAAGGUAAUAUUUAUCCAUUCAAGAAUUUCAGUACCUAUCUUUGUAGUACUCAUAUCUAGCUCUACUAUUUUUGAGUGCACCAUCUGGGUGUCUCACAAGGAGAUCUAUUAGCAUAUCUACAAUAUCCUUCGGAAAUGUCAACUAACGCAAACAAUCCAUCCAUAAUUUUGGGUUACUCUAACCCCAGUCGGAUCCUGAUAUUCCGUCCUUCUCUUAAACCAUAUUUGUUAGCUCCCAUAGGGCAUAACUUAGAUCGGUGUGGCCAAUUGUAUAUACCUCUGUUACUGUUGAAGGUAACUCAUAAUGCUUAUAUCUCUCUUCCUGAAUGGUAAAUAAUGAUAAUCUUCACUAACUGGGUACCUCGUACCCUUCUUCAUUUUGCUUCUUUUACUUGUUGAAAUUUGUAUCUAUCUUCUGAAUCUCUCAUUGCCUUUCACCAUAGGGGUGGAUAAAUAUUCUUGCCUUAAGGCUCCUUAUCAAGAGGCUUACACGUCUUAGUACACACAUAAUAUGCUGAAAACCUUACAUUUAUCCAUCAUAAGCAUCAUGCAAAAUCGAGUUCCUUUGACUCAACUCUUUCACAUCCACAUACAAUCUCUUACCAACCGUCUUUCUAGAUGUAGGCAUCAUCGUAUUAUGAAUAAGAUAGAGUUUAGGAAAUUGAGUUCCUACAACUGAGCUCUACCACACGAUCUAGAGUAAGAAAAAAGAGUGACAGUCCUAAAUGCCAUGUAGCCUCCUGCUUAUAAGUGUGGUGCAUAACACACCCAUAAACAAGACUCUACUAGACACGACUUGUAGACUCCCUAGGACAGAACUGCUCUGAUACCACUUCUGUCACGCCCCGAACCUGGGGGCGAGACCGGCACCCGGUACCUUACUCAACUGAGUACCAACAUAAUGUAUCUUUUCGUAUCAUACUAUCAUUGAUAACUGAGCCGGAGAGGCUACUUUGAGAUAGGUAGAAUACAACAUGUAAUACCAAUUUAUACAUAAGACAUAUAGGCCUAUAAGACCAAAAUAAUCACUCGUACACUGAACAUUGGCCGACAAGGCCACACAAUCUUUUACGUACAUGACAUCUGUCUACAAGCCUCUAAUAAUACAUAAUUGUCAUAAAGGUAGAUACAGAGCCCCGCUAUACCAAACAAUAUAUAUUUAAAUCAUACUGACCAAGCAAGCAACUCCGGAGCAAAUGGAGUGCACCAACAUCUUCCGCUGAGCUGAUCUCCUAAUUGGAGGACUCUCUACCUGUCUAUCGAGACCUGCGGGCAUGAAAUACAGCGUCCCCAGGCAAAAAGGGAUGUCAAUACAAAUAAUAUACCGAGUAUGUAAGGCAAUAUACUGAAAGCUGAAACUGAACUGAUAAUAUAAUAAUUGAAUGUAACUGGGAGUCAAAGAUUAUAUGAUGAUAUGCUUACCUGCUGAUACUGACUCAACUCUCUCAAUACAGUAAGUAAAAUAGUUGUCCGGCCCUAUAAGGCUCGGUAUAUAUAUAACUGCUCUGCCAUAGUAGGCUCGCUUAUAGGCGCUCGGCCAUACUAGGCUCUGUAUCUCGGCCAACUGGGCUCGCUCAUAGGCGCUCAGCCACAGUAGGCUCAGUAUAUAACUUACCAUCUGAUCAGAGGUUGCCCAAUAGGGGCCUGUCCAUCGAUUAUAGCUCGUUGGUAAUGAAAAUACUGUAAUACUGUAUAUAUAAGCUCUCUGCUCUCUUGACUGGAAGAAGACAAUACUCAGUUGAAUAUGAAGUCCCCUGAUAAGGAGAAUAUUCUAAAUUAUGGAAACUAGGGGAUAAUGGUAAUAUAAANNNNNNNNNNNNNNNNNNNNNNNNNCUUACCAUCUGAUCAGAGGUUGCCCAAUAGGGGCCUGUCCAUCGAUUAUAGCUCGUUAGGUAAUGAAAAUACUGUAAUACUGUAUAUAUAAGCUCUCUGCUCUCUUGACUGGAAGAAGACAAUACUCAGUUGAAUAUGAAGUCCUGAUAAGGAGAAUAUUCUAAAUUAUGAAACUAGGAUAAUGUAUAUAAAUUCGGGAGUAUGAACUUCUCUUUAUGCCUCGUUAUCAAACACAUGUAAUUAUGAGAUCAUGCCAAAAUGAAGGAAGGGCUUAGCCUUAAGAUACCUGAACCGAUUCUCUUGACAAUUCCUCUAACACACGUCUUUUUUGAAAAUACGUGACGACAGAUCGAAGUAGGGAAAUAUCUGUAUGAUAUUCUUGAGAAAGAUUGUACUAUGCUCCCUUAAAAUUUGCAAACUCACGAUGCCAUUACAUAAUAACAUCUUUGUAUGAAUUAUUGAAGUAAAUCACGUUACUAUUGCAACCUUAUCUUUUCUGAAGCUCUCUUUGAAUUGUAGAGAUUCAAAAAUGAGAUUAAGAUCUCUCUUUGGUCUUUUGGGUGUGGGCCCCACUUUAGGGAAUGAUUUGGCCACCAAACAACCUUCAAUUUUUGCCACCUUAUUAAGUGAUUUAAGAGUCAUUAUUCAAGACCUCUUUGGCUGCCACAUUCCCAUAAUCUCACGUGACUUUCCCCCUAAUACUUAUCCAAUAUCUUACAUAAAUAAUUAUCCUCAAACUUUUAAUUAAUUUGUUAACUUUUCACUCAAAUCAAUAAUUAACCAAAUAUCCACAUAAUUAAGAAUUAUCUCAAAUUACUUAAAAUACUACUCACUUUUAACACACCGUGUAUACCUUACUAUUAUGGUCAUGUGGUACCUUGUAUGACACUAGUCCAUAAAUACCGGGUAUUUUACCUUGGGCCGUAUUUAUUCCCGAAAUGUCGAACUUCGACGAAAAUCCAUUUUCUUCGAUUUACUUACCCUUUCACCUUCACGAAUUUACUUAUCCCUUAUUUGAAAUAGCGUAAUACUUAUAAUCCCAAAAUAAUCUCAUUACUGAGCUUACGUCGAUUAACUUACGACGAAACUUCAACAUACAAAAAUGCGGGAUGUAACAUCUCAUUUCCAAGCUUCCAUCAAUUUACUUAUGGCGUACUUUCAUGUACGAAAACAUGGGGUGUAACAAAAAUCCCCUCCAAAAUCUCCCAAAACCGAGCUCUCAAACUCAAAAUAUGGAAAAGGAAAUAAAACCCUUGAUCUCCACUAUUUCUUCCCAGGCUUUUCGCACCUGUGAAUUAUUUGGUCGCUUCUGCGAUUCCGCAUCUACGAAAACUAUAUUGUAGAUGCGGCCUCAACUAAGGCUUAGGAAAUAUUUCUUAUGCGAAAAAAGGGCGCACCUGCGCUUUCGCUUUUGCGGACCCCAACUCGCUUCUGCACAUCCGCUUCUGCAAAAUAACACUGCACUUGCGAUCCAUCAAUACUCACCAGCAAUCCGCUUCUGCGGACAACAACCGCAUCUGCGGUCAUGCAUGUGCACGCAUCUAUCCGCACCUGCAGACCCAGUCCACUAAGUCCAAACUCGCAUCUGCAGCUCAUAGGCCAUUUUUGCGGUAGCGCACCUGCAGCCAUGCCAUCGCAGGUGUGAUUGCACAAGACUCCAGCGCUCUUCAGGCAUUCCUUUAAAGUGCUAAAAGGUCCAAACUCAACCUGAAUCAUACCCGGGGGCCCCAGAACCCCGCCAUAACAUACCAUCAAGUCACAAAAUACGUAACGAACCUACUCGAGGCCUAAAAUCACAUUAAACAAUAUCAAACCUAUGAAUCACACCCCAUUUUAAGCCUAUUGAAUAAAUGGAUGUUCAACUUGAAAAAUAAAUGUUGAUUCAUACCAAACCAAUUCCGAAUGAGCUCAAAUUUUGCAUGCAAGUCUCAAAUGACACAACGGACCUAUACCAACUUCCGAAAUCACAAUCCAAGACCGAUAUCAAUAAAGUAAACUCUCGGCCAAACCUACCAACCUUCCAAGCCUUCAACUUUUUAACUUUUGCCAAAACGCCUCAAGACAACCUACGAACCUCCAAAUUAAUAUCUGGACAUACGCAUAAGUUUACAAUCACCAUACAAAACUAUUUGAACCAUCAAAUUUCCAUUCCAGAGUUAUUUACACAAAAGUCAAACUCCAGUAAACUCUUUCAAGUUAUGCUUCCAACUUUGGGACUAAGUGUCCCAAUUCACUCCGAAACUCACUCGAAACCAAACCAAACACCACAUCAAGUCAAUUGAACUUAGAGGAGGCAAUAGAUAGGAGAACGUGGCUAAAAAUACUCAAAACGACUGGCCGGAUCAUUACAGAAGGUUGCCUACGUACCUCACAUCCGAUGAGGAUCAAACCCGCGUAGUUCAGUAUGAUUUCAAAAUAGAGGGGAAAUGGCAUGUUGAAAAUUUUGGCUCAUUUUGUAACAACCUCCUAAACAUUUGGCUGAGUUUUAGAAUUUUCUUUUUUUUUUCUUUCAAAUACCAGGAUUUUCAGGAAUCGGGUAAAUUUCUCUCUCCUAUAUUCUCUCUCUCUCUCUCUCCCUCCUUGAUUUUUGUUCCCUAUUCUAGGAGGCGGUCAACAUGCAAACCAGAUCAAAUAAAUGCACAAGUGGCAUGUAAGAAUGCAUAAGGUUAGUAUUUUAUUUUUGAGUACACCUCUCCUAGAUGGACCCAACCCAUGUGUUGAGUCCCCUAUUUCAAAUGCACGUGAUGCAAACAUGCGUACCUACUAGGGAUACAGAAUGAGGCUUUAUUCUUCUAGGUUUAAACCUAGUAAGGUUUGGAGUUUUAGACCUGGCUUACCCGAGAGGACAACUCAAGCCGGAGGGGGGGAGGGGGGGGGGGGUAGUGUAUUGAGAAUAUAGAAGCUUCACCGGCUUUACAAAGAGUAUGAUCCUCAUUCUAAAAUUAGGGGUAUGACACUUUAACAGAAAUGAUAUACGCGUACAUGCGCUCCCAGAAGAUUUAGAGGACUCAGAAUGUCACGACCCAAAAUCCACGAUAGGUCGUGAUGGCACCUAACGCCGCUGUUAAGCAAGCCAACGGUGAUUGAUCAAUUUAAUUACUCAUUUUAUUACCUUUGAAAUCAUAAAUUUUAAUAAGGAAGGAAAUUUACACUUUUAAAUCCACGGGAACGUACAAAAUUUGUAGUUUAUGAGAGAAAUAAAAGGCGAUGAUAAUAUACAGGACCGUAAGCAUCAACUAGUAUAUCCUAAAAUCCGGUGUCAUAAGUGCAUGGGCAUUCACUAAGGAGUACAAUAAUAAUACAAUAUCUUUCUAGAAUGUAAAUGAGACAUGGUAAAAAAAAUAGUACGAUGGAGACUCUGUGGACUGCGAUACGUGGCAUGGAAUGCAGCUCACAUAUAGUCUCCUAAACAGCUGCGCUUACGCGCCACAAUGAUCACAAAAUGAACCUAUCAGAUCCUGCACAUUUAGUGUAGAAGUGCAGCAUGAGUACGUAAAUCAACGCGUACCCAGUAAAUAUCUAGCCUAACCCCGUAGAAGUAGUGACGAGGGGUCGACAUCAACACUUACUAGUGGUCCAAUAGAUCAAUAUGGUAAAUCGUAAACAGAUAAGAAGCACAACAAUAGUAGUGAGGUAAAUCUGUAACUAACACAAUCUUCCAAAAUUUCUUUUAACGAUAUCAAUUUCUCAAUCUCGUAUUUUAUCUCAACAGAUCGAAAAUAUCAAGUGCCAAUAUCAAAAGGAUAAGUAAAUACCAUAUAAAGUGUCGGGCAUCAGUGGAAGGAUAAUCUCGUGAACAAUCUUACUGCUAGCGAUAUAACGCACGAUUAUGCCGAGGUCGUACGACCCGAUACCAUCGUUAUGUGUACACUACCGAGGGUCGAGCAGCACGAUCCAUAGAUGCAUCUACUAUAAUACCGAGGUUAACGAACCACUCCCAUAAGAGUAAGAUACAUGAUCCUGCCAAGGCGUUCGGUCCGCUCCACAAGAAAGGAAAGAACCUUUUGAAUUACGAGGCACGUGCUUACGAUACAGUAUAUGAAUACUAUGUGAGUAUAACCAUUGCCGAUUCUCAAAUAACUUGCCAAUACCUCAAGGUGAUAACCUCGGCCUAAUGUAUAUGUAAUUUCUAAAUCAAGUUCAAUUAUAAUUUCAAUUAAUUAAGCCAGCAGAAUGAGUUCAAAUAAUUCAAAUAUUACAUGGUAAAGUCCUAAGUAUACUCGAACAUAAACAUGCUUUAGCCACGUACGGACUCUCGUAACCUCGUGCGUACGUCGCACCCACAAAAAGUAGCACAUAAUAAUUACAUCACCUAGGGGAUAGUUUUUCCCUCACAAGGUUAGACAAGAGACUUACAUUGCUCCGAAGUUCCAUAACUGACUCCAACGCCUCUCUAACACCUCAACUCCAAGCCAAACGAUCCGAAACUACUCAAACAAUAUGCAAUUCAAUCAAAAUAUACUCAAAUGCAUAUAAUAAACAAUUCCCAACUCCGCUAGAAAAGUCAAUAAAGUCAACCAUCAGGCCCACGUACCUAGAUUUCGAAAUUGUUUGAAGAUAAAUAUUACCCAUAACACCACGAACUCAAAUAUAUAAUUUAUUCCUAAUUCCAUGUCCAAUUUCGUAUUAUGUUUUGGGACUGGUUGGUGUGUUUUGGGACUGGUGUUGUGCAUCGCGAUCACGAAGAAGAAAUUUGGGGCUGCUCGUUUGUGCUACAUGAUCGCGACUUGGGAACCGCGAUCGCAGAGAAGGGAAUGAUUGACCAGGGAUUUUGCCUUACGCGAACGCGGCUUUUGGUUCGAGAAGAAGGGUGUCGUAACACUUUUUAUGUUCAGCUCACAAAAUAUCACGGUAAAGAGCGAUAUUUAGCACAUUAGGCUCACACAUAUAAAAUCAGACAAUAAACAAGAAAGCCAAGUAUAGAGUCAUCUAAGCUCGAAUUCUGAACCCUGAACCAGAAGUUCUGGGUUCAUGUCCCCAGCAGAGUCACCAAAAUUGUCACACCUCCUUUUUUUCGAAAGGAGUUUUUCCACUUUAAGUGAUAUUAUUGAAAAGGGAUUAUUUAAUUUAAUUUUAAGAGUCGUCACUUGAAAUUAUUUAUUACGGUGUUCCAAGCCACCAAUUAUUUUAUAUUCCAUAUCAAGGUAAGUUUGACUCUGUUUAAGUUUGCGAAACACAGAAGACCGUGUAAUGAAUUAUAUUAAUCCGAGAGAAGGUGUGAGGCACUCCUGGAUUUUGUGAUAUUAACAAGGUCGCUUUAUUUAUUUCAACACGUUUGAGAUUGCUUGUGGAGUCCAAGAAUUAUAGAAUUUCAUUCGUGAAUUCGCGAACUUUGAAACACUAAGGGCCUCCUUCAUAACAAAUACGAGAAAAGUUGAGAAAAUAGAUUUGGUAGAUUAACAACUUAUCUGUAUUAAUAAAUGAAUCCUCAUUAGUUAAUUAGUAGUGGCUUGUAGUUAAACUAUAUCUCUUCUUUUCAAUUAUUUAAUUCUACAUGGAUUGUUAUUGUGAAGGUAACAUUAUGGGCUAAAUUUAUUGAGUACCCAGAUUGGACAUCCAAUAAGUCACUUGUGAGUACAAAUGGGCUUCGGAUUAAAGCCCAAGGCAUCCUUUGAGCCUUUUGAGAACUAGGCCAUGAUGUAGACCUCUAAAUGGACAUGGUACUGAAAUUAGCUAGGAGUUCAGAGUCCACAUGACUCCAAUCUGAUUCUGCCACUUUGCUACGCCAGUUACUCUGGCCAAUGGCCUCUGGGAACGAAAGCCUAGUGAUUUACAACUCACAAUUUCAUACACCAUUGCAAAAAAUGAAAUAUGUAUGAACUAAUCUAAGCAUGAGUACAUGUUCAUCCGGAUUUAAAAUUACAACACCAAUUCACUACAUCAGAAAUCAUGACUUGAAUUUAUAAUAACAAACACUUUUAUGAACUAACAUCCUACAUUUCUGGAAUUAAACAAUGUCAUAACAAAUAAGGUUUCAGAUAAUUAAUUCAUAUCUCCUAAUGCCUUUGACUCGUACAAGUUUAGACUCUUCAUUCAACCUUCAAACUCAUGUGCUGAAAAACUUCAGUGGCUACCAAACUCAAACCCGAUCUCUAACAAAUUUACUAAGUGUUCACAAUCACCAAUAACAUGAAGAUAUUAGUUCUCAAAUUGCUAAAAUGUAUCAUACUAAGCUAAACAGAUAUCAAUCUGUUACAAUUAGCGGCAAAUUUCCAUUUUUACUCAAACACAAAAAUAUUAUCACAAAACAGACUAGAUUUGACUAUGUAAAACAUCUUAUCUAAAAACAUAAAUCGUGCGAAGAGCAAUAAUGGAUCUGGACACACAUAGAUCUAUGAAGAACCAACAUGAUUUCAAUUUAUUUGAUUUCAAUUUGAGGAAUUACAAACUACUUAAGCGUCAGCAACAUGAUUCAAGGAAUGCAUUUCAAUUUCAAUACCAAAACAUGCCAUAUCAUCAUAAAACUAAAUACAUUCAGAGAUCUAUAAGAAGCAGUAGGUAAAUAACCUUCAAAACUGAAAUACGAGAGAGAUUUAGGACCAAAUAAAGGUCAUAAAAUUAUAAGAGGGAGCUCAGCUACGAAACCACAUAAUCAACAGCGAAUCAAUAACAAUUAAUAAAGUAUUUAAGAUGGAAUAACUCAUUUGGAACCCAGCAAGUAAGGAAUAAUCGAUCAUAGGUGAAAACACUCUUCAAAUCCUUUUGAAAUCCUAAGUUUUCUUUUAUUUUUGGAGUCUUUGAUCUUAGAUCUCUUUUUUGAAUUUUUUAACUUUCGAAAUUUUUGGUUUUCAGUUGUUUUUGAAUACCGCUGAAUUUUCAGAGUGAAAUGGGUGUGCGCGCGAAUUUUUCAGACUGUGAAUACAUGCCCAAAUUGUGAGGAGGAAUGCCUUAUUUAUAGAUUAUUAGUUAGGUCUCUUUUGAACUUUUUCUUUUUGUUUUACCCCUCUUAUUUCAAGUUUUUACUCCGACAGUCCCUAAUAGCACACCCUUCUACAUCUUCUUUGCAAAUUAAUCAUUUUCCACACCUUCCUAGAAGUUUCCUAAAAGAUUCUCUAAGGGUGAAAUUCCUUAAUUAUCCUUCAAGUAUUUACCAAUUUUCAGAAAUUAGCUAUCUUUUAACACAAUUACUAGUCUUAUUUUACUACAUAUUUCACUAAAUUUCUGGCAGUGAGCCUUGGGCCAAAAGAAUAAUAGGCCAUGUCGACCUGGGCUCAAAGCCCACUGGUCUUCUAUAUUUUUGAUAAGUCUGUUAAUGAUCUAGCCUAAUUUCUUUUAAAUUUGAACCAAACUAACUAAGACAGUAUUUAAACACUAACAAAAUAUAUGAAAAAUUAACAACAAAAAUCGAAAAUAAGCUAACUCAUAAACUAAUUAGCUAACACAUAAUCGAACUAACAGAAGAAUACUCUUAACUUCUAAUGCUAUUUGAUCAAUAAUUAAAACAUGCGAUUAUUCACCUAUGAAUCAAAACAAAUGACAACACAUAAAAAAGAAAAACGUAGAAGAAUAGGAGGGAAGGGUAUACCUAAUGGAUCAAACGGGCUGUCAAGAGGAAAUUCCGACGAGCCAGAGGAUUGCUACACAAGCUCCAACCGAAAUUUGUCACGCUGGCCAAUGCUAUAUGUAGAAAUAGGUCCUGCAUGCUGGAGGUGAAGAACGAAGAAGCUUUGAGAGGACUGGACGGUCAACUAGAAUUUGACCGGGACCCGAUGGCCAUGAAAUGAGACGAAACCACCACCAAUCGCCAGUACUCAUCAAGAGAUGUCGAUUGGUGUGAAUUUUAACCUCAGACGGGGUAAGAAUUGAAGAGGAAUCAAGAAAGGGGCAGUUUCAAUUUUUCUUAAAUUCUCAGAUCCACUAAUCAUGGAGUUUGGGUGGAUUUUUGAGGAAAUGGUUGACAGAUUAGGGAUGAGGAGGAGUGAGAAGUAUCUGGUGAAAAUUUUGGGCCACCACCGUGAGGCAAUUUUUGGCGGCGGUCAGACGAUGGUCCACGGUGGUAUGAAGGCGGAGGGGGGACAACGGGCGACGAAAGCAAUUUUCGGCCGCCCAAGAGAGAUGAGAGAGAACGGGGAUUAGGGGUGGUUUAUAAAUAUUAAAUUUUUAUCAAUCGUUUUUAUUAAAAAGGGAAAAAC
RNAcentral lists this long non-coding RNA (44355 nucleotides) under Nicotiana tabacum (common tobacco). Its description in RNAcentral is "long non-coding RNA (NTAB_LNC001787)". The record is from RNAcentral. Lineage: Eukaryota; Viridiplantae; Streptophyta; Magnoliopsida; Solanales; Solanaceae.